This 253-nucleotide ribosomal RNA is filed under the name uncultured bacterium. Its description in RNAcentral is "partial 16S ribosomal RNA". It matches the Rfam family "Bacterial small subunit ribosomal RNA", at positions 524 to 776 of the family's 1533-position model. The record is from RNAcentral.
UACGAAGGGGGCUAGCGUUGCUCGGAAUCACUGGGCGUAAAGCGCACGUAGGCGGCUUUCUAAGUCAGGGGUGAAAUCCUGGAGCUCAACUCCAGAACUGCCUUUGAUACUGGAGAGCUUGAGUCCGGGAGAGGUGAGUGGAACUCCGAGUGUAGAGGUGAAAUUCGUAGAUAUUCGGAAGAACACCAGUGGCGAAGGCGGCUCACUGGCCCGGUACUGACGCUGAGGCGCGAAAGCGUGGGGAGCAAACAGG